Molecule: long non-coding RNA, 1911 nt
Organism: Xenia sp. Carnegie-2017
Lineage: Eukaryota; Metazoa; Cnidaria; Anthozoa; Malacalcyonacea; Xeniidae
Exons: 6
Source: RefSeq, a predicted model, not a curated record
AAGCUGACAAAAAAGGAGAGAAAAGGAAGGACUGCUAAGCCUUUUACAGCCGUCUUCGUACUUGACGAGAUUACCCACAUACCUUUGCGUCUCCGUCAUAUUGACUUCCAAUUAUGGCCGACUCUCAUGGCCAGUGAAUCGACCUUUUUAUAAAAUGCUUUGUGAUGCAGUAUUUUGAAUCCAAAAUCUACCAAAAUCGAAAGAUAUACGGCAAGCCAGUUGUCUUUGAGAAACUUUAGGAUGUCUAUAGAGACACAAGAGGAUGAACAAUGGAAACUCUUUCUCGAGGGUUCCAUGUUCGAGGAUCAUUUUAAUGAACUCGAGAAGAUUUGUGAAGAGGCUUAUGGUGGCCAUUCUGAGCUCUUUGAUGAUGAGUUUUUGAGGCCCAUUUGCUCAUUACUUCUAGAACUACGGACAUCAGCUAAGACAUUUUUCUCAAAUUCUGGAAUGAACGAGGAAAAAUGGCUACCAUGUUACGAGAGAUUUGUCACAUCUGUGAUUCAUCUCUCGCAGCUCGACAUCAACCUCCACAAAGGGGAAUUCUAUUUUCACUUGAACCUCACAUCGCCCGGCGAGAUCAUCUUGAAGUAUUACGAUUCCAAAAAGGUGAUGUCAUUGCCGCUGACCAAAAGCGAAUACGAUUGUAUAUGGGCUUCGAACUGGAAUGAACGAAAGUCGAAACAAAUGAAGAACAGGUUUCUUUUUUUUGAACUGUAUUGUGAGAGGCCAAGCAGGCAAAGGGUUUGAACGCAGACCGUGGAGGUACAUAAUGGCAUUUGAUACAAGGCACAGACGGCAAAGCAGCAAGGACUUGAAUACGGAGCUGAGCCCGCGGACGAGCAGUGUAAAUGCUUUCGUAAUGUCCACAGAUUUAAGCUCGAAACCAUUGACUAUACUUGAUGCAAACUUCAAAGUCAUUCUUAGCCAUGUAAUCUGAAUGCCAGGAGAUGCAACCAGGUAGCGUUCACAUUGCCUACAUCCUCGAACGAAAGGAUUCACAUCUAUUGAUGUUCAGUGCUGAUAAACUAAAAGAAAAACUUAAAUUUUAAUUCAAAUUGCUGUCGUCUUUUGAUGAUGUACUAUCUUCCAUUUCAAUGCAUCAAAUUCCCACGACCUUUGGCGGAAGCUUUGAGGUCGAUCACAAAGCUUGGCUGCAGUUUCGAUUGAAACAAGAACCUUUCAUAACGGGUUGUCGAAGGGCAACAAAGCUGGCUUUGACGGCAACAGAUGAACUUGGAAUACAAAAAUUUGGUGAAACGGUAGAAGAAUGUCAGAGAUUGUUCGAAGAACACGAUAAAAAAUUGAGCGCCAUCUUUUCAAUCUUUUCAGACAGCCGCCUGUCUGCGUUACAAGUCGAAGGUGAACAACUUUUGUCGGACAUACAGUAGACAGAUAACUCGAACAAAACACAAGACUGGAAAUAUACCAUGGAAAUUGUCUCGAAAUUAUAUUUCAAAAUGAAUCAAGUGUUCUCCAAGCUGGAAGUUUUGUAUAGAAAACGAAAACGAGAGUUAGAGGAUUGUCUGCAGUUCAAAUGCUUUCAAGAGGAAUACGUUAAGAUAUAAAAUUAUUAAGAUGUUUGUCCAGUUUACUGGAAGAGUUUUAAUACCAAACUAUACAAUAUCUUUGCCUGGUUAUCAAGAAAAUUGAAGUAAUAUUAGUGAAUUUGCACUUUGCUUUUUUAAAAACUGUUAAUCUGCUUCGAAUCUUUUUGAUCUCAUCCAGGAGUGAGCCUCAAUGGCGUUUGAUUGUAUUAAAUUAACAUAAGAACAACGCUGUUUGUUAGAUAUUUCUGAAGAAUGUUUAACUCUUACUUCAGCUGACAUAACUCUGGCUUUUGCUAAAAAUUUUACAUGACCGAAUAUUCUAGAAAUUAGAAAGUAGAGAAUAUUAUCUUUCUAGUGGUACUGA